UCGCCCGAGUACCCAUUGGAGGGCAAGUCUGGUGCCAGCAGCCGCGGUAAUUCCAGCUCCAAUAGCGUAUAUUAAACUUGUUGCAGUUAAAAAGCUCGUAGUUUUACUUUUCGUCCUCGCUAUUGUGCUUUCACUAGGCGGGACACCUCGUUACUUUGAGAAAAUUAGAGUGUUUCAAGCAGGUUUUGCCUGUAUAAUUGAGCAUGGAAUAACCUUGUAUGACCCUGUCGUACCGUUGGUUGCCUUGGGUAAUGGUUAAUAGGAACGGUUGGGGGCAUUCGUACUCGACUGUCAGAGGUGAAAUUCUUAGAUUUGUCGAUGACGCACGAGUGCGAAAGCAUUUGCCAAGGACGUUUCCAUUAAUCAAGAACGAAAGUUAGGGGAUCGAAGACGAUCAGAUACCGUCGUAGUCCUAACCAUAAACUAUGCCGACUAGGGAUUGGUGGUCGUCGUUUUCGACUCCGUCAGCACCUUGAGAGAAAUCAAAGUCUUUGGGUUCUGGGG
RNAcentral lists this ribosomal RNA (504 nucleotides) under Babesia sp. RNAcentral describes it as "SSU rRNA". It matches the Rfam family "Eukaryotic small subunit ribosomal RNA", at positions 533 to 1119 of the family's 1831-position model. Lineage: Eukaryota; Apicomplexa; Aconoidasida; Piroplasmida; Babesiidae. The record is from RNAcentral.